This 466-nucleotide ribosomal RNA is filed under the name uncultured bacterium. Its description in RNAcentral is "bacterial SSU rRNA". It matches the Rfam family "Bacterial small subunit ribosomal RNA", at positions 330 to 792 of the family's 1533-position model. The record is from RNAcentral.
UCCAGACUCCUACGGGAGGCAGCAGUGAGGAAUAUUGGUCAAUGGGCGGAAGCCUGAACCAGCCAAGUCGCGUGAGGGAAGAAGGCCCUGCGGGUCGCAGACCUCUUUGGACGGGGAGCAAGGCCGCCGACGUGUCGGCGGAAGGAGAGUACCCGUAGAACAAGCAUCGGCUAACUCCGUGCCAGCAGCCGCGGUAAUACGGAGGGUGCAAGCGUUGUCCGGAAUCAUUGGGCGUAAAGAGUUCGUAGGCGGCAUGUAAAGUCAGGUGUUAAAGGCGCAGGCUCAACCUGUGUAUGGCACUUGAUACUUGCAAGCUGGAAUGCGGUAGAGGUAAAGGGAAUUCCUGGUGUAGCGGUGAAAUGCUUAGAUAUCAGGAGGAACAUCGGUGGCGUAAGCGCUUUACUGGGCCGUAAUUGACGCUGAGGAACGAAAGCCAGGGUAGCAAAUGGGAUUAGAUCCCCCCGUA